CGUAAUACAGGGCAAGCGGCCGCGGUAAAACGUGGGAGGGAAGCGUGAGCGGGAUUUACGAGGCAGAAAGGGAACGCAGGCGGUUAUGUAAGUCGGCAGUGAAAGGUCCUAGCUCAACUGGGAGGGGUCGUUCGGAACUGCAUAGCUUGAGGUUGGAAGAGGAGAGCGGAACUCCCGGUGUAGUGGUGGAAUGCGUAGAUAUCGGGAAGAACACCAGUGGCGAAGGCGGCUCUCUGGUCCAAAUCUGACGCUCAUGUGCGAAAGCGUGGGUAGCGAACGGGAUUAGAUACCCGGGUAGUC
RNAcentral lists this ribosomal RNA (300 nucleotides) under uncultured Ignicoccus sp. Its description in RNAcentral is "bacterial SSU rRNA". It matches the Rfam family "Bacterial small subunit ribosomal RNA", at positions 497 to 795 of the family's 1533-position model. The record is from RNAcentral. Lineage: Archaea; Thermoproteati; Thermoproteota; Thermoprotei; Desulfurococcales; Desulfurococcaceae.